AUCCUACGGGAGGCAGCAGUAGGGAAUCUUCCACAAUGGACGAAAGUCUGAUGGAGCAACGCCGCGUGAGUGAAGAAGGGUUUCGGCUCGUAAAGCUCUGUUGGUAGUGAAGAAAGAUAGAGGUAGUAACUGGCCUUUAUUCGACGGUAAUUACUUAGAAAGUCACGGCUAACUACGUGCCAGCAGCCGCGGUAAUACGUAGGUGGCAAGCGUUGUCCGGAUUUAUUGGGCGUAAAGCGAGUGCAGGCGGGUCAAUAAGUCUUAUGUGAAAGCCUUUCGGCUAACCCGGGAA
RNAcentral lists this ribosomal RNA (292 nucleotides) under uncultured bacterium. Its description in RNAcentral is "partial 16S ribosomal RNA". It matches the Rfam family "Bacterial small subunit ribosomal RNA", at positions 335 to 619 of the family's 1533-position model. The record is from RNAcentral.